GAGUCUGCAACUCGACUCCAUGAAGUCGGAAUCGCUAGUAAUCGUGGAUCAGAAUGCCACGGUGAAUACGUUCCCGGGCCUUGUACACACCGCCCGUCACACCAUGGGAGUGGGCUGCAAAAGAAGUAGGUAGUUUAACCUUCGGGGGGACGCUUACCACUUUGUGGUUCAUGACUGGGGUGAAGUCGUAACAAGGUAGCGCUAGGGGAACCUGGCGCUGGAUCACCUCCUUAAACGAUGAU
RNAcentral lists this ribosomal RNA (242 nucleotides) under Vibrio parahaemolyticus. RNAcentral's name for it is "partial 16S ribosomal RNA". It matches the Rfam family "Bacterial small subunit ribosomal RNA", at positions 1301 to 1533 of the family's 1533-position model. Lineage: Bacteria; Pseudomonadati; Pseudomonadota; Gammaproteobacteria; Vibrionales; Vibrionaceae. The record is from RNAcentral.